GAACGUCGUGAGACAGUUCGGUCCCUAUCUGCCGUGGGUGUAGGAUACUUGAGAGGAGUUGCCCCUAGUACGAGAGGACCGGGGUGAACGAACCACUGGUGGACCAGUUGUCGUGCCAACGGCAGUGCUGGGUAGCUAUGUUCGGACAGGAUAACCGCUGAAGGCAUCUAAGCGGGAAGCCCCCCUCAAAACAAGGUAUCCCUGAGGGCCGAGGUAGACCACCUCGUCAAUAGGCCAGAGAUGUAAGCGUGGUAACACGUUCAGUUGACUGGUACUAAUCGCCCGAUAGGCUUGAUC
This 297-nucleotide ribosomal RNA is filed under the name Minutocellus polymorphus. Its description in RNAcentral is "partial Bacterial large subunit ribosomal RNA". It matches the Rfam family "Bacterial large subunit ribosomal RNA", at positions 2614 to 2925 of the family's 2925-position model. The record is from RNAcentral. RNAcentral also lists the same sequence under 2 other names. Lineage: Eukaryota; Bacillariophyta; Thalassiosirophyceae; Cymatosirales; Cymatosiraceae.